Molecule: ribosomal RNA, 484 nt
Filed under: uncultured bacterium
Lineage: Bacteria
Description: partial 16S ribosomal RNA
Rfam family: Bacterial small subunit ribosomal RNA
Source: RNAcentral
AUUGAACGCUGGCGGCAGGCCUAACACAUGCCAGUCGAGCGGAUGAAGGGAGCUUGCUCCUGGAUUCAGCGGCGGACGGGUGAGUAAUGCCUAGGAAUCUGCCUGGUAGUGGGGGAUAACGUCCGGAAACGGGCGCUAAUACCGCAUACGUCCUGAGGGAGAAAGUGGGGGAUCUUCGGACCUCACGCUAUCAGAUGAGCCUAGGUCGGAUUAGCUAGUUGGUGGGGUAAAGGCCUACCAAGGCGACGAUCCGUAACUGGUCUGAGAGGAUGAUCAGUCACACUGGAACUGAGACACGGUCCAGACUCCUACGGGAGGCAGCAGUGGGGAAUAUUGGACAAUGGGCGAAAGCCUGAUCCAGCCAUGCCGCGUGUGUGAAGAAGGUCUUCGGAUUGUAAAGCACUUUAAGUUGGGAGGAAGGGCAGCAAGUUAAUACCUUGCUGUUUUGACGUUACCAACAGAAUAAGCACCGGCUAACUUCGUG